AUUGAACGCUGGCGGCAGGCCUAACACAUGCAAGUCGCACGAGUGGCGGACGGGUGAGUAAUGUCUGGGAAACUGCCCGAUGGAGGGGGAUAACUACUGGAAACGGUAGCUAAUACCGCAUACCAUCGGAUGUGCCCAGAUGGGAUGAGCUUGUAGGUGAGGUAACGGCUCACCUAGGCGACGAUCCCUAGCUGGUCUGAGAGGAUGACCAGCAACACUGGAACGGAGACACGGUCCAGACUCCGACGGGAGGCAGCAGGGGGGAAUAUUGAAUAAUGGGCGAAAGCCUGAUGCAGCCAUGCCGCGGGUAUGGAGAAGGCCUUCGGGUUGUAAAGUACUGUCAGCGGGGAGGCGUUACCCGCAGAAGAAGCACCGGCUAACUCCGUGCCAGCAGCCGCGGUAAUUC
Molecule: ribosomal RNA, 406 nt
Filed under: uncultured bacterium
Lineage: Bacteria
Description: partial 16S ribosomal RNA
Rfam family: Bacterial small subunit ribosomal RNA
Source: RNAcentral